Molecule: ribosomal RNA, 778 nt
Filed under: uncultured Neocallimastigales
Lineage: Eukaryota; Fungi; Neocallimastigomycota; Neocallimastigomycetes; Neocallimastigales
Description: partial large subunit ribosomal RNA
Rfam family: Eukaryotic large subunit ribosomal RNA
Source: RNAcentral
CGUCUAUAUACGUAUAGCAUAUCAAUAAGCGGAGGAAAAGAAACUAACUAGGAUUCCCUCAGUAACGGCGAGUGAAGCGGGAAGAGCUCAAAUUUGAAAUCUUCAAGGUUUUACCUUGACGAAUUGUAGUUUAAAGAAGUGUUUUCUGUUGUGAAUUUUGGUAAAAGUUCUUUGGAAAUAGGACAUCAAUAGAGGGUGAGAAUCCCGUAUUUGACCAUUACUUCCAGCGUUGUGAUACACUUUCAAAGAGUCGGAUUGUUUGGGAAUGCAGUCCAAAAUGGGUGGUAAAUUUCAUCUAAAGCUAAAUAUUGGCGAGAGACCGAUAGCGAACAAGUACCGUGAGGGAAAGAUGAAAAGAACUUUGAAAAGAGAGUUAAACAGUACGUGAAAUUGUCAAAAGGGAAGCGUUUGACACCAGUGUUGUUUUCUCGAAAAUCAAUUAAAAAUGGCUGGGAUUUUGUGUUGUAUUGACCUUAUAAGCUUUCUGCACUUUUUUCAUAUCUUUUUUAAUGCACUUUUCGUUUAACAAGUCAACAUCAAUUUCUUUUGUUGUAAAAGGGUCAUUGGAAGGUGGCUUUCUUUUCGGAGAAAGUGUUUAUAGCCUUUGACUCCUGCAAUCGGAGAGACUGAGGUCUGCAGCGUAGAUCCUUUUGGAUUAGAUUCAUUUGUGCUAAGUUAUAGCUUUUUAUAGACAACAUGUUGACUAUAUUUAGUCUUGUAACUUACUCGCUUAUGUAAUUUUACCUACGCUUAGGAUGUUGACGAUCAGCUGAGCGCG